Long non-coding RNA from Papaver somniferum (opium poppy), 314 nucleotides. RefSeq lists it as uncharacterized. The record is from RefSeq and is a predicted model, not a curated record. The transcript is spliced from 4 exons. Lineage: Eukaryota; Viridiplantae; Streptophyta; Magnoliopsida; Ranunculales; Papaveraceae.
GCUUAAGGCUUUUCUGGCUACUUUCUAGAACACUCGUGGCUUCACUUGUCCUUCUUCGUUUGACCAUCAAAGAUAAAAUGCAAGAAACUUGAACAUCCUUGGUUGGCUAAGGGUAAUGUUGGACUUUCAGAAAGACAAUGUUAGAAAUCACAUGGAACGGAAGCCUUGCAAAUAGUCAUAUACGACAGGCUCUCUAGGUCUCCGCAUUCAACUCAAAUGUCUAUUGGCUAUCGUGAAGCUUUCCAUUUAGUUAUCGGGAUUGCUUAACAAGGACCCAACAAUCAUGGAACUUCGAAUUGCUUUUUGGGAAAAGG